GUGGGGAAUAUUGCACAAUGGGCGCAAGCCUGAUGCAGCGACGCCGCGUGAGGGAUGACGGCCUUCGGGUUGUAAACCUCUUUCACCAGGGACGAAGCGCAAGUGACGGUACCUGGAGAAGAAGCACCGGCCAACUACGUGCCAGCAGCCGCGGUAAUACGUAGGGUGCGAGCGUUGUCCGGAAUUACUGGGCGUAAAGAGCUCGUAGGUGGUUUGUCGCGUUGUUCGUGAAAUCUCACGGCUUAACUGUGAGCGUGCGGGCGAUACGGGCAGACUGGAGUACUGCAGGGGAGACUGGAAUUCCUGGUGUAGCGGUGGAAUGCGCAGAUAUCAGGAGGAACACCGGUGGCGAAGGCGGGUCUCUGGGCAGUAACUGACGCUGAGGAGCGAAAGCGUGGGGAGCGAACAGGAUUAGAAACCCGAGUAGUCC
Molecule: ribosomal RNA, 430 nt
Filed under: uncultured bacterium
Lineage: Bacteria
Description: bacterial SSU rRNA
Rfam family: Bacterial small subunit ribosomal RNA
Source: RNAcentral